RNAcentral lists this ribosomal RNA (465 nucleotides) under uncultured Klebsiella sp. Its description in RNAcentral is "bacterial SSU rRNA". It matches the Rfam family "Bacterial small subunit ribosomal RNA", at positions 338 to 795 of the family's 1533-position model. The record is from RNAcentral. Lineage: Bacteria; Pseudomonadati; Pseudomonadota; Gammaproteobacteria; Enterobacterales; Enterobacteriaceae.
CCUACGGGUGGCAGCAGUGGGGAAUAUUGCACAAUGGGCGCAAGCCUGAUGCAGCCAUGCCGCGUGUGUGAAGAAGGCCUUCGGGUUGUGAAGCACUUUCAGCGGGGAGGAAGGCGUUAAGGUUAAUAACCUUGGCGAUUGACGUUACCCGCAGAAGAAGCACCGGCUAACUCCGUGCCAGCAGCCGCGGUAAUACGGAGGGUGCAAGCGUUAAUCGGAAUUACUGAGCGUAAAGCGCACGCAGGCGGUCUGUCAAGUCGGAUGUGAAAUCCCCGGGCUCAACCUGGGAACUGCAUUCGAAACUGGCAGGCUAGAGUCUUGUAGAGGGGGGUAGAAUUCCAGGUGUAGCGGUGAAAUGCGUAGAGGUCUGGAGGAAUACCGGUGGCGAAGGCGGCCCCCUGGACAAAGACUGACGCUCAGGUGCGAAAGCGUGGGGAGCAAACCGGAUUAGAUACCCGAGUAGUC